GAGGGUAUAGCUCAGGGGUAGAGUGCCUGCUUAGCAUGCAGGAGGUCCUGGGUUCAACCCCCAGUACCUCCA
Molecule: transfer RNA, 72 nt
Filed under: Camelus bactrianus (Bactrian camel)
Lineage: Eukaryota; Metazoa; Chordata; Mammalia; Artiodactyla; Camelidae
Also listed under: 2 other names
Rfam family: tRNA
About the family: Transfer RNA (tRNA) molecules are approximately 80 nucleotides in length. Their secondary structure includes four short double-helical elements and three loops (D, anti-codon, and T loops). Further hydrogen bonds mediate the characteristic L-shaped molecular structure. tRNAs have two regions of fundamental functional importance: the anti-codon, which is responsible for specific mRNA codon recognition, and the 3' end, to which the tRNAs corresponding amino acid is attached (by aminoacyl-tRNA synthetases). tRNAs cope with the degeneracy of the genetic code in two manners: having more than one tRNA (with a specific anti-codon) for a particular amino acid; and 'wobble' base-pairing, i.e. permitting non-standard base-pairing at the 3rd anti-codon position.
Source: Rfam by way of RNAcentral